AAUUGCUAGUAAUCGCGGAUCAGCAUGCCGCGGUGAAUACGUUCCCGGGCCUUGUACACACCGCCCGUCACACCAUGGGAGCCGGUAAUACCCGAAGUCAGUAGUCCAACCUCGUGAGGACGCUACCGAAGGUAGGAUUGGCGACUGGGGUGAAGUCGUAACAAGGUAUC
This 170-nucleotide ribosomal RNA is filed under the name uncultured bacterium. RNAcentral's name for it is "partial 16S ribosomal RNA". It matches the Rfam family "Bacterial small subunit ribosomal RNA", at positions 1330 to 1500 of the family's 1533-position model. The record is from RNAcentral.